This 1035-nucleotide long non-coding RNA is filed under the name Takifugu rubripes (torafugu). RNAcentral's name for it is "lncRNA (ENSTRUG00000031059.1)". Lineage: Eukaryota; Metazoa; Chordata; Actinopteri; Tetraodontiformes; Tetraodontidae. The record is from RNAcentral.
AUGCCGUCAUCUACCUCCUCCACACCUCCCUCACUCACCUGGAGAAGGCUGGAAGCACUGAGGAUCAUGUUUUUUGAUUUCUCCAGUGCAUUCAACACCAUCCAGCCCAGGCUGCUGGGGGACAAACUGCAGGUUGCUGGGAUGGAUCACCACCUCACAACAUGGAUUUUGGACUACCUCACACAAAGACCACAGUUUGUGAGGGUGAAGGGCUCAGAGUCACAUCGGCUUCUCUGCAGCACUGGUGUCCCGCAGGGAACAGUUCUGGCUCCUUUCCUGUUCACCCUCUACACCGCGGACUUUUCACACAGUACAUCUUCAUGUCACCUCCAGAAGUUCUCUGACGACUCUGCUGCUGUCGGCCUCAUCACUGAUGGGGACGAUACGGAGUACAGAGAACUUAUUCAGGACUUUGUGGACUGGAGCCUGCGGAACAACCUCCAGAUCAACGCUGGCAAAACCAAGGAGCUGGUGGUGGAUUUCCGCAGGCGUAACAAACCCCCGCCUGCACCAGUGAACAUCCUGGGAACUGAUGUUGACGUGGUGGAGUCCUACAAGUACCUGGGUGUUCACCUAAACAAUAACCUGGACUGGACACACAACACAGACGCCCUUGUCAAGAAGGGCAAUAGCAGACUGUUCCUGCUCAGGAGGCUGAGGUCUUUUGGAGUGCAGAGACCACUCCUGAGGACUUUCUAUGACUCUGUGGUGGGAUCAGCCAUCUUCUAUGGGAUAGUCUGCUGGGCCAGUAGCAUCACGGACAGGGACAGGAAGAGGAUGGACAGACUGGUGAGGAGGGCCAGCUCUGUCCUGGGAUGUCCACUGGACUCGGUGGAGGUGGUGGGAAACGGGAGGAUGAUGGCUAAGCUGUCAUCCAUGUUGAACAACACGUCCCACCCCCUACAGGACACCCUGACAGUACUGGGCAGCUCAUUCAGUGAGCGUCUGCUCCACCCUUGCUGUGUGAAGGAGAGGUACCGCAGAUCUUUCCUGCCGGCUGCUGUCAGACUGCACAAUAAACAUAAUGCCCACUAA